Molecule: ribosomal RNA, 497 nt
Filed under: uncultured bacterium
Lineage: Bacteria
Description: partial 16S ribosomal RNA
Rfam family: Bacterial small subunit ribosomal RNA
Source: RNAcentral
GAUGAACGCUGGCGGCGUGCCUAAUACAUGCCAGUCGAGCGAACGGACGAGAAGCUUGCUUCUCUGAUGUUAGCGGCGGACGGGUGAGUAACACGCGGAUAACCUACCUAUAAGACUGGGAUAACUUCGGGAAACCGGAGCUAAUACCGGAUAAUAUUUUGAACCGCAUGGUUCAAAAGUGAAAGACGGUCUUGCUGUCACUUAUAGAUGGAUCCGCGCUGCAUUAGCUAGUUGGUAAGGUAACGGCUUACCAAGGCAACGAUGCAUAGCCGACCUGAGAGGGUGAUCGGCCACACUGGAACUGAGACACGGUCCAGACUCCUACGGGAGGCAGCAGUAGGGAAUCUUCCGCAAUGGGCGAAAGCCUGACGAAGCAACGCCGCGUGAGUGAUGAAGGUCUUCGGAUCGUAAAACUCUGUUAUUAGGGAAGAACAUAUGUGUAAGUAACUGUGCACAUCUUGACGGUACCUAAUCAGAAAGCCACGGCUAACUACGUG